UGAACUGNCAAGCUAGAGUGUGUCAGAGGGGGGUAGAAUUNCACGUGUAGCAGUGAAAUGCGUAGAGGUGUGGAGGAAUACCGAUGGCGAAGGCAGCCCCCUGGGAUAACACUGACGUUCAUGCUNGAAAGCGUGGGUAGCAAACAGGAUUAGAUACCCUGGUAGUCCACGCCCUAAACGAUGUCAAUUAGCUGUUGGGCAACUUGAUUGCUUAGUAGCGUAGCUAACGCGUGAAAUUGACCGCCUGGGGAGUACGGUCGCAAGAUUAAAACUCAAAGGAAUUGACGGGGACCCGCACAAGCGGUGGAUGAUGUGGAUUAAUUCGAUGCAACGCGAAGAACCUUACCUGGUCUUGACAUGUACGGAAUCUCUCAGAGACGGGAGAGUGCCUUCGGGAGCCGUAACACAGGUGCUGCAUGGCUGUCGUCAGCUCGUGUCGUGAGAUGUUGGGUUAAGUCCCGCAACGAGCGCAACCCUUGUCAUUAGUUGCCAUCAUUAAGUUGGGCACUCUAAUGAGACUGCCGGUGACAAACCGGAGGAAGGUGGGGAUGACGUCAAGUCCUCAUGGCCCUUAUGACCAGGGCUUCACACGUCAUACAAUGGUCGGUACAGCGGGUUGCCAAGCCGCGAGGUGGAGCCGAUCUCACAAAACCGAUCGUAGUCCGGAUUGCACUCUGCAACUCGAGUGCAUGAAGUCGGAAUCGCUAGUAAUCGCAGGUCAGCAUACUGCGGUGAAUACGUUCCCGGGUCUUGUACACACCGCCCGUCACACCAUGGGAGUGGGGGAUACCAGA
Molecule: ribosomal RNA, 794 nt
Filed under: uncultured bacterium
Lineage: Bacteria
Description: bacterial SSU rRNA
Rfam family: Bacterial small subunit ribosomal RNA
Source: RNAcentral